CUAGUUCAUCUGAAGGAAAUGUAUCCAGUCCAGGUAAGGGGAAUACCAGAGAUAUAUACUGUAUAUACAAUAACACAGUUUUUCAUAUGAUCAAUCUUUUUGCCUCUUCUAUGGGAAAGGAAGCAACUUUUCUCAUUGAAUGCCAACGUCCUGAUUCCUAGCAAUAAAAAGACAGUGGGAUAUAUCGGGCAUCUUUCUGAUCAAUAAUUCAGCAGGAUUAUCUAUGAUAUUAUCGGCAUUGGAAACUCUGAUUUCCGGAAAGAUAACCUCUAAAAGUCAACCAGAUACAGUAACAAUCUCUGAUUUACAGCAUGUUGCCUACUUCACAAUUUCAUAAUGCAGAAUGGAGGGGCAGAUGUAUUCACCAUGGCAUAUACACCUACAGAAGUCGAAGAACCAGCCGUGGAGGCAAACGAUGACAUCCCUGGGGGUGUGCAGACCACUGCUGAGUGGACUCAGUUCAGACAAGGACCUUGCUCAACAUAUGUGGGCUAAUAGGGGGGGUUAAAAACUAUCGAGUUGUCUCGUCACUUGCUUAAAACACCAUAAGUGAAUCUGUUAUGUAUUUGCAUUGGUUACUCUUCAUGGUUAAGCUUUGAAUCAUGUGCAAUGGAUUCGAACAAAUGAGUUAUUUUUUUACUCUAUCCUCUAUUAUGUCUGUUCCUGGCUAAUAUUUGCAUUCGUAAUAAAUUUAUUUGCAGACUUUAGCUUUCACAUGGAUGAACAUAUCAGUUCAGUUCACACCAUGUCUUUUGUUUUGCUUGCUUGUUUGUACAAUGGAGAUAUUAUAGUGUUGGAGCUUUUGUUCUUGCUUACUGCACUUCUAAUAUUAAAUAUAUGUUAAUUUGAAACUGUAUAA
This 859-nucleotide long non-coding RNA is filed under the name Linum usitatissimum (flax). RNAcentral describes it as "long non-coding RNA (LUSI_LNC003531)". The record is from RNAcentral. Lineage: Eukaryota; Viridiplantae; Streptophyta; Magnoliopsida; Malpighiales; Linaceae.